Oncorhynchus keta (chum salmon) is the source of this 381-nucleotide long non-coding RNA. RefSeq lists it as uncharacterized. NCBI's taxonomy places the organism in Eukaryota, Metazoa, Chordata, Actinopteri, Salmoniformes, Salmonidae. The transcript has 4 exons. The record is from RefSeq and is a predicted model, not a curated record.
UACCAGGUAGGAAUGAGACUAUAUACAAGGAGUACAGAGUCACUGUGCAGGGGUACCAGGUAGUAAUGAGACUAUAUACAAGGAGUACAGAGUCACUGUGCAGGGGUACCAGGUAGUAAUGAGACUAUAUACAAGGAGUACAGAGUCACUGUGCAGGGGUACCAGGUAGUAAUGAGACUAUAUACAAGGAGUACAGAGUCACUGUGCAGGGGUACCAGGUAGUAAUGAGACUAUAUACAAGGAGUACAGAGUCACGGUGCAGGGGUACCAGGUAGUAAUGAGACUAUAUACAAGGAGUACAGAGUCACGGUGCAGGGGUACCAGGUAGUAAUGAGACUAUAUACAAGGAGUACCAGUACAGAGUCACGGUGCAGGGGUACC